RNAcentral lists this long non-coding RNA (4832 nucleotides) under Sus scrofa (pig). Its description in RNAcentral is "lncRNA (ENSSSCG00000042918.1)". The record is from RNAcentral. Lineage: Eukaryota; Metazoa; Chordata; Mammalia; Artiodactyla; Suidae.
CUGAGGCUGGAGAGUAGUAUUGAGGGGAAGAGACAAGAAAGACAUGAUAGGGAAGGGAUAAAGUCUUAACGCCACAACUUGGCACUUGUUUUCUUGGCAGCCCUUAUGAGAACUAGAGAGAGAAUUUCCAGUAAAAUUAAUAAUAAUUUCUUAUUAAAUCAUCAACAAUAAUAGGAGAAGGGCAGAUGAGUUUUGCAUAAGUUCGAACAAAUCGGAUUCGUUAACCACUGCGCCACGACGGGAACUCCUGUAUUCUUUCUUUUUAUCUUCAUAUAACUCUUGCAAUGUAGGGAAAAACUCUCCAAGGGGGGAGAGAGAGAUUUUAAAGAGGAUCAGCUGGAGACACCAAAAGAGAGACCAGGUCAAAAGCACAUGCAAAAUAAUUGGUAGAGCAAAUAUGCUCAGUAUUGCUAAGUUUCAGCUCACUGCAACCAAUAUUCACUGAGUGAGGCAUAGGAACUGCAUUCUAAAAAUCACUGUUCAGCAAGAGGGUUAAGACAUGGCCAUUUACAGAUGUAUUUGUUUAAUCAACAAACAUUUAUUUAUUUGUCUUUUUGCCUCUUCUAGGGCCACACCGCGGCAUAUGGAGGUUCCCAGGCUAGGGGUCUAAUCAGAGCUGUAGCCACUGGCCUUCGCCACAGCCACAGCAACUCAGGAUCCGAGCCACGUCUUCGACCCACACCACAGCUUAGGGCAAUGUGGGAUCCUUAACCCACUGAGCAAGGCCAGGGAUGGAACCCGCAACCUCAUGGUUCCUAGUCGGAUUCGUUAACCACUGCGCCAUGACGGGAACUCCGAUUUCUUGGUUUUGAUAACUGUACCGUGGUUAACCUUACGGGAAGCUGGGUGAAGUGACUCAGUAUUACUUUUACAACUAAGUCUAAAGGUAUUUUAAAAUAAAUUUUUUUUAAAAGUUGGGGGAGGGGCUUUAGAUACAUUUCCAUGAGAUUUAGCAAGUGGCAGAAGAAGGGGUCUUCCAUCACCAUUUAUUCUACCGACCACCAGCACAUCUAGGAAAAGACCGUGCUCUCUCUCUAGGCUCAGCUGGCCCCCUUGUACCACUGGGUAAGUCUUACAUGACCAAGGCACGAGUUCCAAGUAGGACGGCAUGACAUAUGGUUAACACAAGGUCCAAAGUCAUCAAAGUUGCUCUUUGGGCUUCAUUUCCUGAGUGCAUUAAUAACCUUCCUGCUUUGGCAGAGAGUUGAGUUUGAUUCUUGGGAUCAUACUUCUGGAGGUUGGCCAGUUAGUACAAUUCCAGUGUGGUCGGCCAGCCCUGGCACCAGCUGGAGUAGACCUGUGGAUAUGGCAUCAGAAUUUACUGGACAUCCUCUCCUUGGCCAAUGUCCAUCGCCAAUGAGCAGAGUACUCAAAAAAAGUCAGUUAAAUUAGGCUUGGUAAAGUGACAUUGCAUCUUUGAGUAAUGACGUUGGGAAACAGGGAAAACAUUUUCCACUAGCUCAUGUCUCGCUGUGUGGCAAUCCGGUUUCAAGACAUUUCUUAAUAAAUCAUUGCUUAUCACUCACAUGGGAACAUAACAUGGCUCCAGUUAAGAUUCGUUAGUGGUGGUAAAGGAGAAACAGGAAUUGCUGUAUAUCUGGGCUUCCAGAACAUCUUCCUGUCCUCUGCAGGCACUUUUUUAUCAUUAUAUUUACUGUAGCUGUUGUUUAAAGCAUAAAUAAGUGGAAGGAAAGAGCACCAAAUGUGGAUGAUGAAAAUAAAUUUACCUUACUUCUGUGUUUGUGCGAGCCUUUGGCCAUUAUUCCACAGCAGGGUACAUCCAGGGUUGGUAGCUGCGGUGUUCAGAGAAGGUCUUUACACUUGAAGCGCUUCCCUCUCUUGUGUCCUCCUUGUGUUUGAUUUUGCAAAAUGCCAUCAUAGUCACGUUCAAGAGUGGAGGCCUGUGGCUUGCGCGUUAUUCUAGUUUGGGGUUUAGGUUCUGACCCAUGCCGCCCUCUGUGCUCCCGAGAAAGGCCUGCUGGCAGACGCAUUCGUUAACAGCAAUUCAUUCAGAUCCAAGGGAGAAAGGGUGAGUGACUAAGAAAGAAAAAGCGCUCAGGGCUGGCCUGGUGGGAGUGACGGGGCAAGGGGCAAAGUAAGACCUUUAAUUUAAAGCUGAUCUGGCUGGUUUGCCGUUGGGAUGAAUGAAGCCUGUCAUGAGAAAGUCCUGGCUGCCCAACCAGAUGACCCCUGUGAGGUUUUUGAUAAAAGCACUGAAGGUGAUAGGGCUUGGGGACCCUUCGACGUAUUCCAGACACUCCCUAGGCUAGGGUGUCCUCAGAGCAAAGAUUCUGUAGGUUUGGACGGCUGAGAAGGUCCCUAAUAUUUAUUUAUGGACGGACAGGAAACCACAAGCCCCUCCUUGAAAUGCUGACAGGGCUCUCUAAGUCCCACCAAAGUGACUUCCUCAGAGUCCCCUCCCAUUCAUGGCAACCCCUCGCAGCUGUUCCUGGUAAUGCCUGCCUGUUUCCGACAUCCUUCCCCCAACAUUGAACAAGGGCACAGAAGUAAGAGCCGCAGCCAUCAUUAGCUCUGUCGCUGGUACCUAUAGAACUUUCUGGAGGAGUUAAGACAGGGCCCUCUGUGGAGCAUUGCCUAGCAACCAUUUCUUCUUCUUCUCCUUCUUCUUCUUCCGCCUUCUCCUCCUUCUUCGCCUCCUCCUUCUCCGUCUUCUUUUUGACCAUGGUGUGAAAGGGCUUGAUGCGGAAUCUCAGUUCCCAGACCAGGGAUUGAACCCAGGCCACCAUGGUGAAAGCAGGGAGUCCUAAUCACUACUCCACCAGGGAACGUCCGCAGCCCUUCUAUUUCUUGAGAGUAGUAUUUCUGGAACAUUCCAGAUUGUCUUACAGAGAAACACAACUAAUCUGCAAACAGAGUUAGAAAUGGAAAAGAAGGUUUUCUGAGAACUUAGGGCUUUAGUAAACCAUGGUCUGUCAAAGGUUUGGGCUUGACGCUUCUGAAAGAAGAGUUUGGUUUAAACUCGAGGUGACCUGCUCAGCCCAGUUUGCCUGGGAGAUCCCUCAGUCCCAGGCAAACUGGGAUGGUUGGUCCCCUUAUUUAAACCCUAGAGUGCAGAUUACCAGGGAUGCUUUUCCUCAUGCCAUCCUUCUCUGGUCCUUACACUGCUGGCAUUGCUGCUUGAAUGCCUUCCCCAACAGCCGUGAAAGCCAACAUGAAGGUCAAAUGUGGAGACUGCAGAAGCAGGCAAGACAGUGGCAGCCAUGUCUUCCAUGGGGAUAGUGGUUCCUGUAUUCACUCUGGGAAGUUUUCUCAGGUGCUGUGUACCAGGCCAGGCUCUCCAUGGGUUUCAGUGGACCCAAGCCACUGUUGGUGGAGGAACUGCUGGGUCUCAAACUCAUCCUGGCCACUUUCGAUCCAUUAUCUCUGCUCCUGGGACCCACCCCUCCAAGUGUGCAUUGUCUGGCUCACUUUAUAGAUUUGGAAACUGAUGGAGAAGGCGUUAAAUGGUUUGUCCAUGAUCUGUCGGCCAGUACGUGGUAGAGCUACUUAGGUCGGAGGGCAAAGCCCUUCCCAUAUAUUAUGUGCAUUCCUAUCGGCUAACUUGUAGGUCUGAACACUACAUUUGAUGGCAGAGGAGACAGAGGGGAACCAGGAGCUUAGCAAGGCUGGGUAGUCUAAUCCAGGCCACACCAAGCUGGCGGAUGGAGGAGCCAAACCUGAGGACUUGGAGGUCUGAGCCGCCCUGUGCACAGGGCUCUCUUCCCCCAUUGGGGGAAAAGGACAGCAGAAUUUCCUCCAUUUCUCUCAGGUGCACUCUGAACUGUACUAGUUCGUACCCAAAUACUUCAAAAGUGUGUUGAGUAUAUAUUAAGAUAGUAUUUCCCAUGUUUUCUAUAUAUUGAAAAGACCCCUCUCAAACAUCAUCACAGACACAUUAAACUCACCAGAUUUAUAAGGGCUUUCAAAGGAAGUGUCAUAGCAUUUCAAACAAUUCCUCCCCCAGGGUAGUAAGGGAGACAAAAGGGUAGCCACUCGUGUGCAGGAAAAAUUAUUUGCCAGAAAAUAAGCCCCGUGGUUUCAGUCAAGGUGCCCAUUCGGUGAUGGAUGUUUCAAAGCCAGUCUCGAUGCAAAACCAUAAUUUUUGCACAUGGUUGUAUCUGAGGGCGGCAUCACCACCCUCCACGUGCUCUUCAGAACCGAGCACCUGCUGGUGAGGAGGCAUCCGGUUCCUGUGCCCAGACCGCAGCUGUCUCUGAAGCUGGACGAGAAAUGACUGGAAAUUGGGUUUUCGUUCAAAAGCGGUUUCAUCACAAUCACACACAGCGCUCCCGUCCACGCACGGCAUCGCCUAACUUCAUCCUGAACCCUGGCCGGCUUAAAAACAGACAUCGAAACCGAGGAAUCGGUAUUUGACAAUGCUGUUAAGGCAACUUUGCCAACGAUUUUUGAACCAGCUCCAGCUGAGGCCUAAAUGCCGACAAUAUUCAUAAACAACUCGGUACCGGCCAAUUAGGGAGACAGAGACGCAGCGUCCUGUCAGGGAGAUGUGCACGGCUCCCGGUCUGAGAUCAGAGAGUGAUGAGAGAUGGCCCGGAGUGACGGGCUGCCCAGACGGAUGACUAUCAUUACGAUAUUACCGGGACUCACACCUUCCCAAUUACUGGCAGGAUUCAUUAAUUACCACGGCAUUUCCCUAAUAGAAUCCGUGCUCCGGCUUAUCAGUGCCUUCCCUCUGUCUACCUAAACCCCCACUCAGCAGUCGAUCACCUAUGAAAAAUGAGGCAGUGCGGCUUCGAAUGGCCUAUUUAAAGGAAAAGAAAAAUGAUCGUGGGAAGAGGAGGGGAAAGAAGUCUAAAGCAACAGACGCAGCG